Molecule: long non-coding RNA, 11909 nt
Filed under: Solanum tuberosum (potato)
Lineage: Eukaryota; Viridiplantae; Streptophyta; Magnoliopsida; Solanales; Solanaceae
Description: long non-coding RNA (STUB_LNC001201)
Source: RNAcentral
GAACCUGCAGUUAAUUCCAUACUUUGUAUGUUGUGUAUUCAUUGUUUUUUUGUUUCUUGAACUCCAUGUUUAACAUCUAAUGUUAUGAUGUAGAUAGAGGAAGAAAGAGAAUUUCCCACCCUCUUUUUCUGGUUAUAUUAUUUUAAGAAAAAGUCAACCUUAUACUUAGUAGGAUGCCAUUACUUGGGGGUAUCCUUCCUUUUUAGUGGGUGGCCAUGAAGGCUCUUAGUACUGACCUAGUCUUUAUUUGAACUUUGCUAUCAUCUUAGUGGCUAACCAUGAAGCAAAUACAUAAAUGUUAAGAAGGAUGUCACAAUUGGACUAUAAAAACCAGAGAUCCUAACUCCACCAUGCAACACAAGUCUUAGUUCUAUCCUUUCUUUUCUCUCCAAGAAUCACAAUGAGAAGCUUUUGGAAUUUGGGGAAAUUGCCUCUACUAGCAUUUGCUUUGGCAAUUUGCUUUGUAGCCAGCACUGUUGUUGCUGAUUACUCUUAUGGCUAUACUUCUCCCUCACCUUCUUACACCUCUAAGAAGUACUACAAAUCACCAUCUCCAUCCAACUAUCAUGAACCAACUCCAUACUACAAGAAACCGGAGAAACAUGCUGAACAUUCUCCAUCACACUAUUACAAGUCACCGGUGCCUUCCAAGCACGACUAUUACAAGUCCCCUACUCCUUCAAAGCAUUACUACAAAUCACCAGUAGUAGUGAAGUAUUACAAAUCACCAGUUCCUUCAAAGAAGUACUACUACAAGGCACCUUCCCAUUCAAACAAGUACUACAAGGCCCCUGCUCCUUCAAAGAAGUACUACAAGUCCCUUGCCCCUUCAAAGAACUAUUACAAGUCACCAUCUCCUGCAAAGUACUACAAAUCUCCUUCACCUGCAAAAUACUACAAGUCACCUGCUCCAUCAAAUCACUAUUAUUAUAAGUCACCAUCCCCUACAAAAUACUACAAAUCUCCAUCGCCUGCAAAAUACUACAAGUGGCCUUCACCAUCAAAUCACUAUUACUACAAGUCACCAUCUCCAACAAAAUAUUACAAGUCACCCGCUCCUUCUAAAUACUAUAAAUCUACCCCUUACUACAAGUCCCCUCCACCUCCCCCAUACUACAAAGAAUCUACCCCUUACUACAAGUCCCCUCCACCUCCCCCAUACUACAAAGAAUCUACCCCUUACUACAAGUCCCCUCCACCUCCCCCAUACUACAAAGAAUCUACCCCUUACUACAAGUCCCCUCCACCUCCCCCAUACUACAAAGAAUCUACCCCUUACUACAAGUCCCCUCCACCUCCCCCAUACUACAAAGAAUCUACCCCUUACUACAAGUCCCCUCCACCUCCCCCAUACUACAAAGAAUCUACCCCUUACUACAAGUCCCCUCCACCUCCCCCAUACUACAAAGAAUCUACCCCUUACUACAAGUCCCCUCCACCUCCCCCAUACUACAAAGAAUCUACCCCUUACUACAAGUCCCCUCCACCUCCCCCAUACUACAAAGAAUCUACCCCUUACUACAAGUCCCCUCCACCUCCCCCAUACUACAAAGAAUCUACCCCUUACUACAAGUCCCCUCCACCUCCCCCAUACUACAAAGAAUCUACCCCUUACUACAAGUCCCCUCCACCUCCCCCAUACUACAAAGAAUCUACCCCUUACUACAAGUCCCCUCCACCUCCCCCAUACUACAAAGAAUCUACCCCUUACUACAAGUCCCCUCCACCUCCCCCAUACUACAAAGAAUCUACCCCUUACUACAAGUCCCCUCCACCUCCCCCAUACUACAAAGAAUCUACCCCUUACUACAAGUCCCCUCCACCUCCCCCAUACUACAAAGAAUCUACCCCUUACUACAAGUCCCCUCCACCUCCCCCAUACUACAAAGAAUCUACCCCUUACUACAAGUCCCCUCCACCUCCCCCAUACUACAAAGAAUCUACCCCUUACUACAAGUCCCCUCCACCUCCCCCAUACUACAAAGAAUCUACCCCUUACUACAAGUCCCCUCCACCUCCCCCAUACUACAAAGAAUCUACCCCUUACUACAAGUCCCCUCCACCUCCCCCAUACUACAAAGAAUCUACCCCUUACUACAAGUCCCCUCCACCUCCCCCAUACUACAAAGAAUCUACCCCUUACUACAAGUCCCCUCCACCUCCCCCAUACUACAAAGAAUCUACCCCUUACUACAAGUCCCCUCCACCUCCCCCAUACUACAAAGAAUCUACCCCUUACUACAAGUCCCCUCCACCUCCCCCAUACUACAAAGAAUCUACCCCUUACUACAAGUCCCCUCCACCUCCCCCAUACUACAAAGAAUCUACCCCUUACUACAAGUCCCCUCCACCUCCCCCAUACUACAAAGAAUCUACCCCUUACUACAAGUCCCCUCCACCUCCCCCAUACUACAAAGAAUCUACCCCUUACUACAAGUCCCCUCCACCUCCCCCAUACUACAAAGAAUCUACCCCUUACUACAAGUCCCCUCCACCUCCCCCAUACUACAAAGAAUCUACCCCUUACUACAAGUCCCCUCCACCUCCCCCAUACUACAAAGAAUCUACCCCUUACUACAAGUCCCCUCCACCUCCCCCAUACUACAAAGAAUCUACCCCUUACUACAAGUCCCCUCCACCUCCCCCAUACUACAAAGAAUCUACCCCUUACUACAAGUCCCCUCCACCUCCCCCAUACUACAAAGAAUCUACCCCUUACUACAAGUCCCCUCCACCUCCCCCAUACUACAAAGAAUCUACCCCUUACUACAAGUCCCCUCCACCUCCCCCAUACUACAAAGAAUCUACCCCUUACUACAAGUCCCCUCCACCUCCCCCAUACUACAAAGAAUCUACCCCUUACUACAAGUCCCCUCCACCUCCCCCAUACUACAAAGAAUCUACCCCUUACUACAAGUCCCCUCCACCUCCCCCAUACUACAAAGAAUCUACCCCUUACUACAAGUCCCCUCCACCUCCCCCAUACUACAAAGAAUCUACCCCUUACUACAAGUCCCCUCCACCUCCCCCAUACUACAAAGAAUCUACCCCUUACUACAAGUCCCCUCCACCUCCCCCAUACUACAAAGAAUCUACCCCUUACUACAAGUCCCCUCCACCUCCCCCAUACUACAAAGAAUCUACCCCUUACUACAAGUCCCCUCCACCUCCCCCAUACUACAAAGAAUCUACCCCUUACUACAAGUCCCCUCCACCUCCCCCAUACUACAAAGAAUCUACCCCUUACUACAAGUCCCCUCCACCAUACUGAUAUCAAUCCGACUUAAGUAGGAAAACAUAUUUGAGGCUGAACCAAUAAAGCAGAAUGAAACUGAAGGACAGGUUCUACCCUAAAAUUCAAUUAAUCUUGCAUCAUGUGAUGUUCUCAUUGUUUUGGAUCUUUUAUUGAAAGCAAGUAGAACUAGUUGGAGUCAUUACAAAGAGGAACUGAAUGCCAUGGUAGAACAUGACGUUGUGCCCGUUAGUUGUAGUUGCAUCACAGUUCCUCCCAUCGCUAAGGGAUUCCACCACAAAAUUGACUUCUUGAUAGACAUGGCGAACUUCCGGUAGGCCCAUUGCUCCCAGGUUGAACCUGCAAUUAAAUCCAUACAUUGUAUGUGUAUUCACUGUUUUUUCUUGAACUCCAUGUUUAACAUCUAAUGUUAUGGUGUAGAUAGAGGAAGAAAGAGAAUUUCCCACCCUCUUUUUCUGGUUAUUUUAUUUUAAGAAAAAGUCAACCUUAUACUUAGUAGGAUGCCAUAACUUAGGAAUAUCCUGCCUUUUUAGUGGGUAACCAUGAAGGCUCUUAGUACUAACCUAGUCUUUAUUUGAUCUUUGCUAUCAUCUUAGUGGUUAACCAUGAAGCAAAUACAAAAAUGUUAAGAAGGAUGUCACAAUUGCAGUAUAAAAACCAGAGAUCCUAACUCAACUAUGCAACACAAGUCUUAGUUCUAUCCUUUCUUUUCUCUCCAAGAAGCACAAUGAGAAGCUUUUGGAAUUUGGGGAAAUUGCCUCUACUAGCAUUUGCUUUGGCAAUUUGCUUUGUAGCCAGCACUGUUGUUGCUGAUUACUCUUAUGGCUAUACUUCUCCCUCACCUUCUUACACCGCUAAGAAGUACUACAAAUCACCAUCUCCAUCCAACUAUCACGAACCAACUCCAUACUACAAGAAACCGGAAAAACAUGCUGAAUAUUCUCCGUCACACUAUUACAAGUCACCGGUGCCUUCCAAGCACGACUAUUACAAGUCCCCUACUCCUUCAAAGCAUUACUACAAAUCACCAGUAGUAGUGAAGUAUUACAAAUCACCAGUUCCUUCAAAGAAGUACUACUACAAGGCACCUUCCCAUUCAAACAAGUACUACAAGGCCCCUGCUCCUUCAAAGAAGUACUACAAGUCCCCUGCCCCUUCAAAGAACUAUUACAAGUCACCAUCUCCUGCAAAGUACUACAAAUCUCCUUCACCUGCAAAAUACUACAAGUCACCUGCUCCAUCAAAUCACUAUUAUUAUAAGUCACCAUCCCCUACAAAAUACUACAAAUCUCCAUCGCCUGCAAAAUACUACAAGUGGCCUUCACCAUCAAAUCACUAUUACUACAAGUCACCAUCUCCAACAAAAUAUUACAAGUCACCCGCUCCUUCUAAAUACUAUAAAUCUACCCCUUACUACAAGUCCCCUCCACCUCCCCCAUACUACAAAGAAUCUACCCCUUACUACAAGUCCCCUCCACCUCCCCCAUACUACAAAGAAUCUACCCCUUACUACAAGUCCCCUCCCCCUCCACCAUACUACAAAGAGUCUACCCCUUACUACAAGUCUCCUCCACCUCCCCCAUACUACAAAGAAUCUACCCCUUACUACAAGUCCCCUCCACCUCCCCCAUACUACAAAGAAUCUACCCCUUACUACAAGUCCCCUCCACCUCCCCCAUACUACAAAGAAUCUACCCCUUACUACAAGUCCCCUCCACCUCCCCCAUACUACAAAGAAUCUACCCCUUACUACAAGUCCCCUCCACCUCCCCCAUACUACAAAGAAUCUACCCCUUACUACAAGUCCCCUCCACCUCCCCCAUACUACAAAGAAUCUACCCCUUACUACAAGUCCCCUCCACCUCCCCCAUACUACAAAGAAUCUACCCCUUACUACAAGUCCCCUCCACCUCCCCCAUACUACAAAGAAUCUACCCCUUACUACAAGUCCCCUCCACCUCCCCCAUACUACAAAGAAUCUACCCCUUACUACAAGUCCCCUCCACCUCCCCCAUACUACAAAGAAUCUACUCCUUCCUAUAAAUCACCUCCACCUCCACCAUACUACAAAGAAUCUACUCCUUCCUAUAAAUCCCCUCCCCCUCCCCCCCACCACACCCUCCCCCUCCACCAUACUACAAAGAAUCUACUCCUUCCUAUAAAUCCCCUCCCCCUCCACCAUACUACAAAGAAUCUACUCCUUCCUAUAAAUCCCCUCCCCCUCCACCAUACUACAAAGAAUCUACACCUUCCUAUAAAUCUCCUCCACCCCCAUCAACCUACUAUUAAAAUAGUUACUAAUUCUAUCAUUUCCACCAUUUCCAUGAAUUCUAACUCCUACUUUGAGUAUCUCUAUUUCCUCAGCCAAAAUUUUAUGUAUUCUUCAAGAAGGUUUUGCUUGUUUUGUGUGUUCCUUUCUUUUAAUAAUUUGUAAUAUGCAUUGUUUGAGAUCCUCAAGAUCUCCGUCAGUUUGGUUCAUUGUAUCAAGAUUCUUUUUGAUGUAAUCUCUUGAGAGUUCCACUUUGUGUAAUACUAUCUUCUUCUUUAUCAAAUAUUGUGUUCUCUUAUUGGUUGAGUUCUUGACUUCUUUCAUUGUUCCAUAAGCAUUCACCUUAUGGACAUCUAUGCUAAACUCUUAUAUGAAGAGAAACCACAUCUGAGUAUAGUUUGGUAACUGUACUCAUUAACUUUUGAGAAAGCAAAAUUAUGUACAAUAAACAGAAUAAGAAAGAAAUAAAGAUGCAUUUAAACUAAGAAAAUGCAUCAUUUCGACAAUUCUUUUCUAAGAUAGAGAAGAGGAAAAGGCGACGUAGUCAAGGUUUAUCGACAUUUUUCUCUUUAAAGAUUACUCUUUUCAUUAUUGAUUUUUCCUUCUGCGAAGAUGUAACCAAGUUUCAGAUUUGUUAGAAAAGUAUUCUUAGUCUUAUAGGUUAAAUUAAAAACUAUAUGUGCAACUCCAACAUUAUUGCCUCCAUUAAGUUACUAAUAAAUUAACAAACAAUUCGUACGGAAAUGGGAUCCCAAUAUCAAGAGACAAAAGAUUCUUAUGAGAAAACACAAUUAAACGAGCCUCUACUUGAACCUCCAAGGAUAAAGGUACAUGAACAACCAUUUGAUCUCCAUAAAAAUCGGUAUAGAAUCCCUUGAAAACUAAUGGAUGUAAACAAAUAGCGUCCCUCCACUAAAACAGGCUGGAAUGCCUGUAUGCCUAAUCUAUGCAGAUUGGAUGCUCUAUUCAGCAAUAUAGGAUGUCCCUGCGUAACUUCUUGAUCAGUAAAAAAGAAUAAUCUUCUUAUGUAGUUAUUUUUUUUGAUAAAGGUAACUUUAUAUUCAUGUCAAAACUCAUCAGCAGAGCAUGAUGAGGUGGGAUUUGUAAUCUUCUUAUGUAGUUAUUCAUAAGUUGUUAUCCCCUUACAUCUAACUAUUAAAUAAAUAAGUUUCAUACCCCAAGAACACGAAAAGAAAUAUACUGAUAUCAAUCCGACUUAAGUAGGAAAACAUAUUUGACGAGGAGAAUGUAGAGUCUGAAUAAUGAAGACUUGGGAAAAAUUAAGACAUCAAGAUUUUUCCGAUAGAAGUUCUGGAAACCUCAGUGUAGUUGGCGUUGUUAAUGGAGAAUAUGUGACAUUUGACUCUAAUUUUCUUAGUUGCAAUUUUCUCAAUCUUUAUUCUGUGUUCUGUCAUUUGUAAAGGGGGAUUUAAAGAGUGAAGGUUUAUAUAAAGACAUUUUGGGGUUCAUAAGACUAGUUACAUACUAUUGCACAUGAACUAUUGGGAUGAGCUUGUGCAUUGAACAUUGGGAUCAUCUCAGGUGUACUUCUGGACACUUGAGGUGUAAGUAUCGCGAGACUACUAUCUCUACGUCUGUCCCAAAGUAUCUCAUCUCUAUAUGAGUCCCUGACGAGUCUCGAGUCUGCCUUCCAUCCGUGAUCCUCAGACCAAAAUGUUAUAUAAGGUGUAAUCUGGUAUGAUUAUCCACUGUUCAAUAGUAAAGUCAACUUGUAGAUUCUUCUUCUGGAAUUGCUAUUCUUUUACUUUGCCAAUGGGAUGACAGUUGUGGCAUUCCUCUUCUUAUUUUUCUUUUUUUGUUCCUAAAUUAUUUCUUCAUCAUGAAAUUUUUUUCUAAAAGAAAGAAGUCAUGGAUAAAUGCUUCCCACUAAGUACUGACUUAGUCUUUAUUUUGACUUAGGCAUCAUCUUAGUGGCUAACCAUGAAGCCAUUACAUGACUGUUAAGAAGACUAUCAAUUUGUAGUAUAAAUCUAGAGGUUCCUACUCAACUAUGCAACACAAGUCUUAGUUCUAUCCUCCUCUUCUCCAAGUUUAGUUGGUUGAAAAAGCAAAUGAGAAGCUUUGGAAAUUUGGGGCAAUGGCCUCUACUUGCAUUUGCUUUGGCAAUUUGCUUUGUAGCCAGCACUGUUGUUGCUGACUACUCUUAUGACUAUACUUCUCAUUCACCUUCUUACAAUUCUAAGAAAGACUACAAAUCACCUUCUCCAUACUACAAGAAACCGGAAAAACAUGUUGAACAUUCUCCAUCGCAUUACUAUUACAAGUCGCAUGCUCCUUCAAAACACUACUAUAAGGCACCUGUUAUUGCGAAGUAUUACCAGUCACAUGCUCCUUCAAAGCACUACUACAAGGCACCUAUUGUUACGAAGUAUUACAAGUCACACGCUCCUUCAAAGCACUACUACAAGGCACCUGUUGUUACGAAGUAUUACAAGUCACCUGCUCCUUCGAAACACUACUACAAGGCUCCAGUGGUAGUGAAGUAUUACAAGUCACCAGCUCCUUCAAAGAAUUACUACAAGGCACCUGUCCCUUCAAAGGAGUACUACAAGUCGCCAGCUCCUUCAAAGUACUACUACAAGUCGCCAUCACCUGCAAAGUACUACAAGUCGCCUGCUCCAUCAAAGCACUAUUACUACAAGUCCCCAUCCCCUUCAAAAUAUUACAACUCACCCGCUCCUUCCAAAUACUAUAAAUCACCUGCACCACAAAAAUAUUACAAGUCACCAGUUUACUACAAGUCUCCUCCCCCACCACCAACUUAUUAUGAGAAAUCACCUUCUUACUACAAGUCCCCUCCCCCUCCACCAUACUACAAAGAAUCUACCCCUUACUACAAGUCCCCUCCUCCUCCCCCAUACUACAAAGAAUCUACUCCUUACUACAAGUCCCCUCCACCUCCCCCAUACUACAAAGAAUCUACUCCUUACUACAAGUCCCCUCCACCUCCCCCAUACUACAAAGAAUCUACUCCUUACUACAAGUCCCCUCCACCUCCCCCAUACUACAAAGAAUCUACCCCUUCUUAUAAAUCUCCUCCCCCUCCACCAUACUAUGAAGAAUCUACGCCUUCUUAUAAAUCCCCUCCACCUCCACCAUAUUACAAAGAAUCUACACCUUCCUAUAAAUCUCCUCCACCCCCACCAAAGUACUAUGAGCAAUCUCCUACAACCUAUAACUCACCACCUCCACCACCACCAGCCUAUUACAAGCAAACUCCCACCUAUGCCUCACCUCCACCACCUCAGAAGUACGAGCAAUCUGUCACCUAUGCUUCACCUCCACCCCCGCCAGCUUCUCCCCCACCGACGUACUACUAAACAUUCAAUAACUCUAUCAUUUCCAUGACUUCUACAUCCUAUUUUGAUUUCAUUCCCUCUUCCAAAAUUUAAUGUAUGCUUGUCAAAAUGAUCAGCUUUGCUUACUGUAUGUUCAAUAUUGUUUUGUUCUAAUGAUUUGUAUUUUGUUUUAUGUCUUCAUUAGUUUUUCUCAUUGUAUCAAGAUCAAUAGUUUGUUACCUAUCUUCUCUUCUUUGUGUAAUAUUCUGUGGUUUUAAUCGACUUAAUUCUUUCAAGUAUAGUAUACCUCCAUAACAUAUAUUUGAUGAUACAGAAAGAUACAAAAGGUUAGUUGGGAAACUAAACUACCUUACAGUGACCCGUCUGAUAUUGGCUAUGCAGUUAGUAUUGUCAGUCAGUUCAUGUCUGCACGAACAGUUAACAUUGGGUAGUCUUGGAACAGAUCUUGUGUUGUUUGAAAGGAGCCGAAGGAACUGACGGAACUCUAUUUCGAGACUCGGAACUCCAAAUGUUGACUAAAGUCAAUCAUUUCAACUUAAAAGCUUCCAAAACUCCAAAACUUAUAAAAAUCUCAACUUUAUGAUUUGGUUUCAAAUCUAACCUCAUAAGCUUAUCAAACAUGACUCAGGGCAACUAUUGAGAGGGGUAAAACGGUAAUUUUUCCAAAAAAAUGAAUCCAAAUAUGACCUUCAGGGUCAUUACACACUUUGUUCCCGAGAAGAUAGAGAACAUGAUUUCUACUGGUUAUGUAAAGACGAGAGAAAACAGGUAAUAUAUUAAAGAAGGCUUUAAAUGGUACUCGUGUGGAGUAUCUUUGUAACAUGUUGGACAUGAUUAAUAUCUAUACUCCAACUUAAGGGGGAGUGCUACAUAAUGAAUAUAGACGCAUCUUCAUACAAUCGUAGGUUGAGAUAUUAGGGAUUUUAUGAUUUUGUUUUCUUAGAUAGAUUUACUUGUACACCUACAAAUAGCUCACUCUUGGAAUAAUACGAUAAGGAGAUUCGUUCCAUUGUCUCUUUAUUAUACAAUAAGCCUUCUUUGACAUGCUAUCCAUUUUUUGGAUUGUAAUUAUACUUAUCAACUUUUGAAAAAGAAAAUUAUAUAAAGCAAAAAGAAAUAGAGUCAUAAGUUAAUAAAUUAACCAACAACUCCAACAUUGCGGCUUCCAUUAAGUUAAUAAAUUAACCAACAACUCAUAACACUAUGAUAUUCAUUAGUAAAAGAUUAAUCUUCUUAUGUAGUUAUUUGUAAAUUGUUACCUCUUACUAGAGGGGCGUACCCAUUAUCCACCGAGUUUAGAAGGUUGUGAUUGGUCCAAAGGGCGGGUCACAUGCAAAUUUCUCGGUUAUCAAAAAAAAAAAUUGUUACCCUUUACAUGUUUUAACUAAUAAAUAAAUGUCAUACCCCAUGAACAUGAAGAGGACAAUAUUGUUAUCAAUCUGACUUAAGUAACUAAAAAAACAGAUUUGAAGACGAAAAUAUUGAGUUUGAUUAACAAAGACUCAGCUAAAAAUAAGACAUAUCAAGAUGUUUCCGAUAAAAGGUGUUGUGAAACCUCUCUGUAUUUAGCAUUCUUGACGAAGAAUAUGUGACAUUUGACUCUAAUCUUUUUACUUGCAAUUUUCUUAACUCAUUGUUUUUUUUUAUAUCAGUGAAGGGUGAUUUAGAAAGACUAAGUACAUAGAUUGCACAGGAACUAUUGAGACAAGCCCCGUGUGUUGGACGUUUGAUGCCUCUCAGGUAUACAUGCUGACACUUGAGGUGUAAGUCUCGCUGAGGCAACAACCUCUACAUCUGUCCCAAAGUACCUCAUCUCGAGUCCCUAACGAGUCUCAAGUUUGCCUUCCAUGUGUGAUCCUCUGUAAGUUUUUGAACUUCUUGUUCAGUUUUUGUACUAGUGAACAUAUAGAUUCUUGUUCUGCAAAUAAUCAUUCUUUUACUUUCCCAAUGGGAUGGAAGUUGUGGCAUUCCUCUUCUAAUCUUCUCAUUUUCUUUUUUUAUGUUUCUAAUGAUUUGUUCAAUCAUUAGAAUAAGUUUUAAGAAAAAAAGUUGUGGAAAAAUGCUUCCCACUAAGUAUUCAUGACCUAGUCUUUAUUUGGACUUUGCUAUGAUAUUAGUGGCUAACCAUGAAGGAUGCUACUUUGCUACUAUAAAAACUAGACAUCUCAACUCAACUAUGCAACACAAGUCUUAGUUUUAUCCUUCUUUUUACAAUCAAAAUGAGAAGCUUUGGGAAUUUGGGGCAAUUGCCUCUACUAGCAUUUGCUUUGGCAAUUUGCUUUGUAGCCAGCACUGUUGUUGCUGAUUACUCUUAUGGCUAUACUUCUCCUUCAACUUCUUACACCUCUAAGAAGUACUACAAAUCACCAUCUCCAUCUCCAUACUACAAGAAACCGGAGAAACAUGCUGAACAUUCUCCGUCACACUAUUACAAGUCCCCUACUCCUUCAAAGCACUACUACAAAUCACCGGUAGUAGUAAAGUAUUACAAAUCACCGGCUCCUUCAAAGAAAUACUACAAGUCGCCUUCCCCUUCAAAGUACUAUUACAAGUCGCAUGCCCCUUCUAAGAAGUACUACAAGUCACCAUCCCCUUCAAAGAAGUACUACAAAUCUCCAUCGCCUGCAAAAUACUACAAGUCGCCUGCUCCAUCAAACAACUAUUACUACAAGUCACCAUCCCCUGUAAAGUACUACAAAUCUCCUUCGCCUGCAAAAUACUACAAGUCGCCUGCUCCAUCAAACAACUAUUACUACAAGUCACCAUCCCCUGUAAAGUACUACAAAUCUCCAUCGCCUGCAAAAUACUACAAGUCGCCUGCUCCAUCAAAGAACUAUUACUACAAGUCACCAUCCCCUGUAAAGUACUACAAAUCUCCAUCGCCUGCAAAAUACUACAAGUCGCCUGCUCCAUCAAAGAACUAUUACUACAAGUCACCAUCCCCUGUAAAGUACUACAAAUCUCCAUCGCCAGCAAAAUACUACAAGUCACCUGCUCCAUCAAAGCAUUAUUACUAUAAGUCACCAUCCCCAUCACAAUAUUACAAAUCACCCGCUCCUUCUAAGUA